RNAcentral lists this ribosomal RNA (497 nucleotides) under uncultured bacterium. RNAcentral's name for it is "partial 16S ribosomal RNA". It matches the Rfam family "Bacterial small subunit ribosomal RNA", at positions 28 to 507 of the family's 1533-position model. The record is from RNAcentral.
GAUGAACGCUGGCGGCGUGCCUAAUACAUGCAAGUCGAGCGAACGGACGAGAAGCUUGCUUCUCUGAUGUUAGCGGCGGACGGGUGAGGAACACGUGGAUAACCUACCUAUAAGACUGGGAUAACUUCGGGAAACCGGAGCUAAUACCGGAUGAUAUUUUGAACCGCAUGGUUCAAAAGUGAAAGACGGUCUUGCUGUCACUUAUAGAUGGAUCCGCGCUGCAUUAGCUAGUUGGUAAGGUAACGGCUUACCAAGGCAACGAUGCAUAGCCGACCUGAGAGGGUGAUCGGCCACACUGGAACUGAGACACGGUCCAGACUCCUACGGGAGGCAGCAGUAGGGAAUCUUCCGCAAUGGGCGAAAGCCUGACGGAGCAACGCCGCGUGAGUGAUGAAGGUCUUCGGAUCGUAAAACUCUGUUAUUAGGGAAGAACAUAUGUGUAAGUAACUGUGCACAUCUUGACGGUACCUAAUCAGAAAGCCACGGCUAACUACGUG